GGCCCUCCGCGGGCGCGGAGCGGCGUCGGAGCCUCGCGCCCUCCCGCCGGCUGGUGCUGCCAGGCGCUGGCGGUGCUGCUCUCCCUCCCCCGGCGUGCGUGUCCGCCCGUGUGCGGAGUGUGCCGCCUGUGUGUAUGUGUUUUGUUGGGAAUGCAAAAAAAAAAAAAAAAAAAAAAAAAAAAAAAAAAAAAAAAAAGAGGGAAAAAAAAAGAAAAAAGAAACCGCCGCGCACACCGGCUGCUUUGGAGAGAAGGGAGUGCGAAGGGAGCCCUCCCUCACAUGAUCGCGGAGUGGCCUGCACAGAAGUGCUAAUAACGCAGGGAGGGGUGGGGGUGAAAGCAGCGGAGGGGGAACGGCAACAAAAAAAGUGCGGCGGGAUGCGCCGGGCCGUGCCCCGCUCCGCCCGCGCCUCCCCCGGCCGGUCCCCGGCGGAGCGGGCGCUGUGGGUCGCGGCGGACGGCAGCUCCACCUGCUAUGUAAACAAACCGUCGGGGAAGUUGUUUGCUGGCGGCGGCUUCCCCUUCCCGCCCCCUCUCCCCUCCCGCCGCCCCGCUCCGCCGGCUCCGUUAGACACAACGAGUUUAGCAGACGGGCGGAAAACAAAGCCGUGUGUUGUGCUGGCAGUGCCGGCCGGCUGCAGCCUGCUGGCAGCCCCCGAGGUGCAGCGGCCCCGCGCGAAGGCAGCCCAGGGAACCCGAGUGGGAGGGGGACGGCGGGGCAGGCCUGGCCGCUGGCAGCAGCUCUGCCGAGGAGGCACGCGUGGGCCCUUAAACUUUUUUCCUCCCUGGCUCCGGAACUUGAAGCAAGGUGCAGGAUCCCCCCCAGAUAUCCGCAGCGGGGACCAGCCGCUCCUCGCCUGUCUGGAACGACCGCCCGUCCCUGGGGCUGCCGAUCCCCCCGGAAAAAACACUUUUAAGAUUGUUUAGGAAGCAAACAAGAACACAGACUGCUCUUCGAACUAGGUGCACUCCCUUUCCUCCCUGCGUACUGCUCCAAGACACUUGGGAAGGAGCAGAAAAUGCUGGUUUUAACCGAAGUCAAGUCGAGGAGGAUCUGUAUUGCAACAUCAAAGAAAAGGAGACGUUACAAAAUUGGUGGAGUUACACCACCAUCUGUCGUUAAGCUUCGGGACUACAAAAGUUCAGACGUAUAAUAAAUCUUAAUGAGAGAUGGCA
This 1175-nucleotide long non-coding RNA is filed under the name Parus major (Great Tit). RNAcentral's name for it is "lncRNA (ENSPMJG00000010573.1)". The record is from RNAcentral. Lineage: Eukaryota; Metazoa; Chordata; Aves; Passeriformes; Paridae.